Molecule: ribosomal RNA, 518 nt
Filed under: Staphylococcus carnosus
Lineage: Bacteria; Bacillati; Bacillota; Bacilli; Caryophanales; Staphylococcaceae
Description: bacterial SSU rRNA
Rfam family: Bacterial small subunit ribosomal RNA
Source: RNAcentral
GUUUUGAUCCUGGCUCAGGAUGNACGCUGGCGGCGUGCCUAAUACAUGCAAGUCGAGCGAACAGAUGAGGAGCUUGCUCCUCUGAUGUUAGCGGCGGACGGGUGAGUAACACGUGGGUAACCUACCUAUAAGACUGGAAUAACUCCGGGAAACCGGGGCUAAUGCCGGAUAAUAUGCAGAACCGCAUGGUUCUGCAAUGAAAGACGGUCUUGCUGUCACUUAUAGAUGGACCCGCGCCGUAUUAGCUAGUUGGUAAGGUAACGGCUUACCAAGGCAACGAUACGUAGCCGACCUGAGAGGGUGAUCGGCCACACUGGAACUGAGACACGGUCCAGACUCCUACGGGAGGCAGCAGUAGGGAAUCUUCCGCAAUGGGCGAAAGCCUGACGGAGCAACGCCGCGUGAGUGAUGAAGGUACUUCGGAUCGUAAAACUCUGUUAUUAGGGAAGAACAAGUGCGUAGGUAAGCUAUGCGACAUCCUUGACGGUACCNAANCAGAAAGGGCACGGCCUAAAAAA